Molecule: non-coding RNA, 371 nt
Organism: Biomphalaria pfeifferi
Lineage: Eukaryota; Metazoa; Mollusca; Gastropoda; Planorbidae
Source: the annotation of a GenBank genome assembly
UGAUAGCCAGCUUACGAGCAGCCUGUAGGAUUAACACACCAUACUCUGUCAACUAACUUGAUCUAAAUGUUUCCACCACUUCUAACCACAUUUUAUGUGUCUAUGUUUGCAAUUGUAAUGGUGUGUAGGAUGUGAUCAAAUAAUGUUGCAGAACUAGUAAUAAGUGUAGAAUGGGCGUCUAAUACAAAAAUUACAAUGAAAAAUAUCUUGACUUUAAAAUGUUUAGCAAUAACUAAUUGCAACUCUCUAAUAGUAAAUUUAGUAACCUGUAUGUCAUGCUCUUUGUGAUUCACUCAUGCUUAGAAUGUUAUUCAUGCUUUUUUCAUUAAAUUCCAAAAAAAAAGUGUUUAAGUACAUCUCUUUUUUUUUUU